AGUCCUUCUUCACCUCUGCCUUGGAAAAACCAGUUUCUCUCGCUUUUAUUGUCUGUUACCUAUUUCUACAAGUUCUAUUUCUAAAAGUUCCCCUGAACCCCGCCGUAUACUCCAAACCCUCUCUUCCAGCUACCUUCACUCCCUCCACUCCGCUUCCACGGUUCUCUGCUUCUAUGUUCUUUUUUCCUUAAAGGGCGGAUGACUCUUCAGGACUGGCCCCCACCCUCCCUCAGGAGCAGGCCUGCUGGGCCGGACACCACACACUCCUCACCGACCUCCACCUGGUUUCACACUGGCAGACGGACCCGCAAAGUACCGUUCAUGCUCUUUGGAUGGUGCAUUCUGGAAAGGAAUGCCCCUGCCCCUGCAUUCCCUCACCUUGAUUUCAGUGGAGUGAAGCUCAGGAGGCGUGGAGCUGACACCGCAGCGGCCGCGGCUGAGUAGCUCCGACUUGGAGAAGGAAAGGCCCAGGGAGGGAGGUGAGCCCUGAAAGGAGACAUCUGGAGUGUGGCUUCUCCUGCAGAGGGACUGGGGGCUGGGCGGUGGACAGAUUGCAAAAGACACCACAGAUGGGAGCCGCUUAUUGCUUCUUGUCUAAAAUUGAUGCUAUGGAAAUGUGUGUUUUCUGUAACUUCCAAAAAUUAAAAGUUGUCUGUCUGCUGGAAAGCCUGCCUCUGUGACUCAUGCUUGGGAUGCGGACUCCCUGGCCUUCUAAGUCACCUCCCCUUGGGGCUACAAUGGAGACAGGAGCUGGAAUCAUGGACACAGGGCCCCUCUCUCCUGGG
This is a long non-coding RNA of Ailuropoda melanoleuca (giant panda), 785 nucleotides long. RefSeq lists it as uncharacterized. NCBI's taxonomy places the organism in Eukaryota, Metazoa, Chordata, Mammalia, Carnivora, Ursidae. The transcript has 3 exons. The record is from RefSeq and is a predicted model, not a curated record.